This 335-nucleotide unclassified non-coding RNA is filed under the name soil metagenome. RNAcentral's name for it is "partial contains 5.8S ribosomal RNA, internal transcribed spacer 2, and large subunit ribosomal RNA". The stretch from base 1 to 120 matches the Rfam family "5.8S ribosomal RNA", at positions 35 to 154 of the family's 154-position model. The record is from RNAcentral.
GAUGAAGAACGUAGCGAAAUGCGAUAAGUAGUGUGAAUUGCAGAAUUCAGUGAAUCAUCGAAUCUUUGAACGCACAUUGCGCCCUUUGGUAUUCCUUAGGGCAUGCCUGUUCGAGCGUCAUUUAAACCUUCAAGCUCAGCUUGGUGAUGGGUGACUGUCCUCCCCUCGCGGGGGGACUCGCCUCAAAAACAUUGGCGGCCGGUAGAUUGGCUUCGAGCGCAGCAGAAACGCGGUCUCGAGCCCGGUGGAUCGGCUCCCAUAAGUCUAUUCUUUUAUUUUGACCUCGGAUCAGGUAGGGAUACCCGCUGAACUUAAGCAUAUCAAUAAGCGGAGGA